Molecule: long non-coding RNA, 3091 nt
Organism: Lagopus muta (rock ptarmigan)
Lineage: Eukaryota; Metazoa; Chordata; Aves; Galliformes; Phasianidae
Exons: 3
Source: RefSeq, a predicted model, not a curated record
CUGACUGCCAGUGGGGAGGGAUCUCUUCUGGAGAUCCACUCCCCUGGAAUUUCAUAGAUGAGCACAGGAUAUGGGUGUUACAUGUACCAACAAUUCUACACAUGCAGUCAUGAGACACAAUGAUCACCGUCUUCCUACUUUUCCUGUAAACCUCAUCUAAAGGACACAAUGAGAAGUGUAGCUCACAGUCAGGAUGCCUUUGACGUCCUCAGCCACCACUUCAUAUCAGAAAAUCUUAAGAAUCAGGAAAAGUUUGCUCGCUACUCAGUCUGCUUGACGUGGAUGUGAUAUGGGACAGUUGGGGCAUAUGGGACAGUUAUAAAUGAACCUUUGGCUUAAGCAGAGACAUCGGGCAGAGUGAGAAGGUCAGUACCACUGAACUGUCUGCUACAUAAAAACUGAGCUGAAUUAAUGUAGAUUUGAGAGCCAGACUUGUAAAACAAACAAACAAAAAAAAAAAACCCCAAAACACAACUGUUACAAAAACUUAAAUGCAGUCUAAUUUGAUGGGGAAGUACAAUACAGAGGAAACAACAGUGUCUGGAGGGAUUGGUACCCAGUACGGGUUGCAGAUGCAAAACAUCCAUUGUUUGUGUAACUUAGAUUUUAUUACAAUUCACAGACAUUUUGCCACUCACAUCCACUGCGCUUUCACUCAUGGCAUGGUAAAAAAUGUAAAGCAGGUACAGAACACUUCUGAAAGUCUCACCCUAAAUUGUAACUUUUUAUGACUCUGUGGGAGAACAGUUUCAGAAUUUCAGACAUCCGUAGCAAACCAGUGUUAUCAGAUUUAUUGUCAGCUGAAUAUGCAGUGCUGCAUGAAACAUGCAUUUUAGAUCCCAGAUUGUUAGAUUAUUUGGGUUUACAUGGACUAAUAUGAAAUUAAGCUCUUUCACAUCUGUCCAGGAACAAAUGGCAUUUUAAAGUGACACUUGUAUUCCUGUAUGCUUUUUCCUGAAGAACAUGUGCUAGCAAUGCCUUUCCUGCUGUUGCAGAUAUUCAUAAUGCAUUGCUUAGAUGACUUAGUAGCCACUGACUACUGGAAAAUAUCAUGAGUCAGAGAACAAAUGUGUAAAAUAAAUUGAAAUGUUCAGCUAUAAUGAAAAACAGUGCAGGUUAUUAGAAAUGUUGAAUUAUAUUAGAGAUGUUGAAUAUAAAAAAAUGUAAGUUUGAAAUAUCACUUGCCGUUUUUUCUAAAAUGUUGCACUAUAGUCAUCAAUUUCAAAGAAUAAAAGGUCAAAAAUCCAUCAAAAAGCUGAGGAGGAGUCCCACAUGUUUACCUUCUUUGAGAGGCAAGUUGAUUUUGUGGACUACUCCAAAAUUUAUUUCAAAGUUCCUUCAUAAACUUUGCUUUUAUAAGAAGCAUGACUGCAUCUUCAGUCUUAGCUUGUAGCCCUUGCACUGAGUAACAGGUAGAUUCUAUGAAAGGCAGGAGGCAGCUACAAGUGAAGAACAUCACUAUCCAUCACUGGACAGUGUGGUACCCCAAAACUGCCAUCACUUUCAGGCACAACAGAAAUUACACUGAAUUAAUGCUUCACAGUGAUGGAUGGGAGUUUGUCUCAAGCUGGUAAAGUGGGACACAGUACACAAAAGGAAUGCAAAUCUUCCAGGAGUUAAUCUGAUCCUCACUAUACUCAGUACGCACACAAAAAAGGAAAAAGUUAAAAAGGGAAAGAACCAGUCUUGGAAGUAAAAGCUAAUGCUUUCCAUUCUCAGAUGAGAGAGUGAUAAAGACUAUGAAAUCUUCCUGGCCAUUUGCAGAUCCACAGAUUUCUCUGUAGAGUUCAAAUGCUUCAAUUGGCCAGAUGGAGGCCACACAGGAUGCAGAGUACUGGAUUUAGGAUGACUCAAACAUAGUUUAGAAAAGCACCCCUCCUGACAAAGAUCAGUUCCCAGAUUGAUGGACUGGACUGAAUGCUGGGGCUGGGGCAGAGUACUGAUUGAGGACAGCAGGGUCCAGCAGCAUGUUUACUGAGCUCAAUGUGAAAUUCUGCAUUAUGUGAUAAAAUGAGCUCUUGGCUACCAGAGUUGCCAAUGUCUGAAGAAAUGAGGCUCACUUAAAUUAUUUGUGAAAAAAAGAGGUAGUUGGUACUUCAAUAAAUACUCUCCUCCUGUGAAAUAUUUCCCAGAAGUUAAAACAGCAGUAUUUUUAAGAUCCAUUAAUUGUGCUGGAGGACUUUUUUGCUGAUUUGGUCUAUGGCCUCCACAUUUAGCUGUUUUCUAUCUACGGAAACUUAAGCUGUCUUUUAAUACUCAAUGAUUCAGGGAUGCUUAUGUCAUUCAUUAAUCCCAGAUGCUCUUGUGGGAAAUUAGAUGGUAGGAUGUAUCUUGAAUGUGUACAGUUUGUCAAUAGUAGAGAAUUUCAGGCUGUUUUUAAAAAGUAUUUCUCUAUUAAAUUGUAGAUUUAAUCCAUGCUGUGUUAAGAACACUGAUUUUAUGAUGAUGGAUGCUGAAUGAAAGGGGUUAGAACAUAUAAAGAAGUGUAUAUGUUCAGGUUUAUUACCAGUUUUCUCUUGAUGUUUUUUUUUUUUUUUCUUCUCCCUCACAAUUUGUGGAUGAGUCUCUUACUUUGGCAAGUUCCUAGAACAGCAAGUAACCAUGGCAGGCUGUUGGACAUGUGCUAUUAAAACUGAUUGUCUGUGCCAGUGUUCAGACAAUUUAUAUGUUCUUUUAAACUUAUUUUUGUUCCUUCUCUGUCUUGAAAUCCAGUUUUAACAAGCAGUGCUGAGAGGUUUUGAUUUACUGUUAUGAGUGAUGGUUUUAAAUGGGCUGGCACUUUCACGGGAAGAUGAAAAACACAUUCAUGUCAUGUUUUCUCAACCCUGCCUGGGAUUUCAGGUACAUAAAGCAGGUUGUCCUUUUGCUGUUCAAAGGCUCCUCUGACGUUCUCCAAUGACAUUUAGACAUGGCUUACUAUUUUGUUGAUAAUUUUUAAGCUACCAAAUAAAAAGUCUGUGUACGUGGCAAAUCUCUUAAUAAGGCUGAAUAAUUCUCUGAACAUAUACAAAAAGAUCUGUUGUUCAGUGAUUUCACCACAGCCAAACAAUUAGGAGUUAUAUACUUUACUGGGAAUAUAAAAUACUAAGAA